RNAcentral lists this ribosomal RNA (835 nucleotides) under Mediterraneibacter torques. Its description in RNAcentral is "bacterial SSU rRNA". It matches the Rfam family "Bacterial small subunit ribosomal RNA", at positions 1 to 821 of the family's 1533-position model. The record is from RNAcentral. Lineage: Bacteria; Bacillati; Bacillota; Clostridia; Lachnospirales; Lachnospiraceae.
UUUAUGAGAGUUUGAUCCUGGCUCAGGACGAACGCUGGCGGCGUGCCUAAUACAUGCAAGUAGAACGCUGAAGAGAGGAGCUUGCUCUUCUUGGAUGAGUUGCGAACGGGUGAGUAACGCGUAGGUAACCUGCCUUGUAGCGGGGGAUAACUAUUGGAAACGAUAGCUAAUACCGCAUAACAAUGGAUGACACAUGUCAUUUAUUUGAAAGGGGCAAUUGCUCCACUACAAGAUGGACCUGCGUUGUAUUAGCUAGUAGGUGAGGUAACGGCUCACCUAGGCGACGAUACAUAGCCGACCUGAGAGGGUGAUCGGCCACACUGGGACUGAGACACGGCCCAGACUCCUACGGGAGGCAGCAGUAGGGAAUCUUCGGCAAUGGGGGCAACCCUGACCGAGCAACGCCGCGUGAGUGAAGAAGGUUUUCGGAUCGUAAAGCUCUGUUGUUAGAGAAGAACAAGGAUGAGAGUAACUGUUCAUCCCUUGACGGUAUCUAACCAGAAAGCCACGGCUAACUACGUGCCAGCAGCCGCGGUAAUACGUAGGUGGCAAGCGUUGUCCGGAUUUAUUGGGCGUAAAGCGAGCGCAGGCGGUUUGAUAAGUCUGAAGUUAAAGGCUGUGGCUCAACCAUAGUUCGCUUUGGAAACUGUCAAACUUGAGUGCAGAAGGGGAGAGUGGAAUUCCAUGUGUAGCGGUGAAAUGCGUAGAUAUAUGGAGGAACACCAGUGGCGAAGGCGGCUCUCUGGUCUGUAACUGACGCUGAGGCUCGAAAGCGUGGGGAGCAAACAGGAUUAGAUACCCUGGUAGUCCACGCCGUAAACGAUGAGUGCUAAGU